RNAcentral lists this transfer RNA (72 nucleotides) under Candidatus Wolfebacteria bacterium CG_4_10_14_0_2_um_filter_39_18. RNAcentral describes it as "tRNA-Arg". It matches the Rfam family "tRNA". From Rfam's summary of the family: Transfer RNA (tRNA) molecules are approximately 80 nucleotides in length. Their secondary structure includes four short double-helical elements and three loops (D, anti-codon, and T loops). Further hydrogen bonds mediate the characteristic L-shaped molecular structure. tRNAs have two regions of fundamental functional importance: the anti-codon, which is responsible for specific mRNA codon recognition, and the 3' end, to which the tRNAs corresponding amino acid is attached (by aminoacyl-tRNA synthetases). tRNAs cope with the degeneracy of the genetic code in two manners: having more than one tRNA (with a specific anti-codon) for a particular amino acid; and 'wobble' base-pairing, i.e. permitting non-standard base-pairing at the 3rd anti-codon position. Lineage: Bacteria; Candidatus Wolfeibacteriota. The record is from RNAcentral.
GCCCUCGUAGCUCAACGGAUAGAGCAGCGCUCUUCUAAGGCGAGGAUAGAGGUUCGAUUCCUCUCGAGGGCA